CAAGAGGUUAAUCUGUAGACAAUGUCGUCAGGCGGUCACGCUGCCAAGGCUACUGUUGUGUAGAAGGAGGAAUGUCAAGCCUUUCACUGAACACCAACGCAGGACGUGGAUCGAAGAGCCUUGAUUUGUAGAAAACCUGACAGCUCAGCAACAUCUAUCGCCGAAUAUAAGCGGUGGAAAGAACUCGAAAGCGUGGCAUUUACAUUUCACGUUAUUUCCAGAACAUUGAGGGACGAAAAGACACCGGUUGGAACCUCUAGCUGAUAGUUCUUUCAUACAAAAAUUAACGACGAACGUUACUUUAGAAUGAUUUCAAUUUGACAAACAUACAACACGGCAAUGGCGCGCUUCAAAUGUCGUCUGCCUUGCUCCUGCGCCAUCUUUGUUUUGUCUAUGAUGAUUCUGUUCGUGGUGUUGGUGAUAGUGAGCACGGGAGGUAUACAAGGGUUUCGGACUCCCCCUAGACAGACAUCGGUGUUGGACAAACUGACGAGGCUUGGUCAGUCUGUCGGACUUAAGUCGGACUCAGUCCGGAAGAUGGCGCAAUCAGCUUUCAAAUUUGUAGCUGGGAAUCUGGAAAAUACAUUAAACAUUACUAUACCCGUGAAUAAUAUAACAUCGUCCUUAAUGGAAUGAAAGUCGGAUGCGAUUUGUCGUGUUUUUCGUCCAUUUAUGUCAAUAUAUACAUACAGUAAAAUAUAUUUUGGCUCAA
Long non-coding RNA from Haliotis rubra (blacklip abalone), 712 nucleotides. RefSeq lists it as uncharacterized. The transcript is spliced from 2 exons. The record is from RefSeq and is a predicted model, not a curated record. Lineage: Eukaryota; Metazoa; Mollusca; Gastropoda; Lepetellida; Haliotidae.